Molecule: long non-coding RNA, 1035 nt
Organism: Alligator mississippiensis (American alligator)
Lineage: Eukaryota; Metazoa; Chordata; Crocodylia; Alligatoridae
Exons: 2
Source: RefSeq, a predicted model, not a curated record
AGUGCUUCGCGAGUCGGAGGGCGCUGAGAAGGGGUUUCGUGGGUCCGCCCGCAAGGGGCGGGGCGGUGCAGCGGGCCGGAGAGAGCAGGCCGUGGGCUAGCGCCCGGGCCCGGUCUUGCUGCGGCUGAAGGAGGCCGGCGCCCUGCGCUCCUCUCCUUCGUUGCUUCUCUGGCGGGGAAGCCAGCGCAUGCUGGGGUGCUGCGCUGGGGGCCUGUUUGUGCAGCCAAGGGACAUGUGGCAAUGGGUUGAAGUGUUGCCAAGCGUUGCCGCAGUGGGGCAAGGGGCAAGGUCUGAUAUGAUCGCCCUCUACCCGGUGCUCCAGGCCUGCUGCUUGAGCUCAACUCUGGAGGCAUUUAGAUUUAAAACUAGAGGGCCGGGUUAUCCUGAGACAAUGACUUUUAGCCUGGGAUCCGACAGAUCUACAAGCUCCUCAUCCCGAUUUUAAGUGCCUGAGGCAAAUCUCGAAUUGAUGCAAGUCAAAACCCAGGGCAGUCAGCCCCAAAUUAAACCAGUCGUCUGUUUUUUAGCCCUAGAGAAGUACCUGAACACCCACAUCGAAAGAAACUGCCAUAAAGACCAUUACAAAACAAUAACUUCACGUGUCACUUAGAAAUAUCCGUCUGAGUCCAGAGCGAAGGAACAGUCCGUCACCCCAGCUGGUAAGGGGCAGUGCUGCAGAGGCAGGAGCAGGUUAAGCGAACUUACCUGCAAGGAAGUUUUGGAAUGUGAUGGAAUCUGGGAACUUCUGGGGUUGGACUAUUUGUGGUAGCUUCUUCUUGCCUGAAAAUUAAAAAAAAAAAUCUCAUCUGAAUUUGGAGAAGAUGACGGUCAGUUUAGGAUAAGUAUGUCUUGCAUUCCUGGUAUCCCUUUCUGAUCCAAAAUUCAGCGUUUAGAAUCACAACCCAUGAACUUGCUACAUUAUUUUUUUGCUUUACAAUUAAACAAAGUUAUUCUGGCAUACAGGAAACUCUUACUGCUCUUAACGAAGUGUGGAUCCAUAAGUAUAUGUAUAAAUAUAUUAAUCUUUUCUAUUUA